Molecule: ribosomal RNA, 500 nt
Filed under: uncultured bacterium
Lineage: Bacteria
Description: bacterial SSU rRNA
Rfam family: Bacterial small subunit ribosomal RNA
Source: RNAcentral
GACGAACGCUGGCGGCGUGCCUAACACAUGCAAGUCGAGCGGGGUUGAGGCGAGAGGUAACUCGAACUUCUACCUAGCGGCGGACGGGUGAGUAACGCGUGGGCAACCUGCCUCAAGGUUUGGGAUAACAGCCCGAAAGGGCUGCUAAUACCGGAUAUGCCUAUGGCCUCGCAUGGGGCUAUGAGCAAAGGGGAAACCCGCCUUGAGAUGGGCCCGCGUCCCAUCAGCUAGUUGGUGAGGUAACAGCUCACCAAGGCGACGACGGGUAGCCGGCCUGAGAGGGUGACCGGCCACACUGGGACUGAGACACGGCCCAGACUCCUACGGGGGCAGCAGUGGGGGAUCUUGCACAAUGGGCGAAAGCCUGAUGCAGCGACGCCGCGUGAGCGAAGAAGGCCUUCGGGUUGUAAAGCUCUGUCUGGAGGGACGAACAAAAUGACGGUACCUCCGGAGGAAGCCACGGCUAACUACGUGCCAGCAGCCGCGGUAAAUCACGUGUA